UACGUAGGGUGCGAGCGUUGUCCGGAAUUAUUGGGCGUAAAGGGCUCGUAGGCGGUCUGUCGCGUCGGGAGUGAAAACUCAGGGCUUAACCCUGAGCCUGCUUCCGAUACGGGCAGACUAGAGUUCGGUAGGGGAGACUGGAAUUCCUGGUGUAGCGGUGAAAUGCGCAGAUAUCAGGAGGAACACCGGUGGCGAAGGCGGGUCUCUGGGCCGAUACUGACGCUGAGGAGCGAAAGCGUGGGGAGCAAACAGG
RNAcentral lists this ribosomal RNA (253 nucleotides) under uncultured bacterium. RNAcentral describes it as "partial 16S ribosomal RNA". It matches the Rfam family "Bacterial small subunit ribosomal RNA", at positions 524 to 776 of the family's 1533-position model. The record is from RNAcentral.